RNAcentral lists this ribosomal RNA (253 nucleotides) under uncultured bacterium. RNAcentral's name for it is "partial 16S ribosomal RNA". It matches the Rfam family "Bacterial small subunit ribosomal RNA", at positions 524 to 776 of the family's 1533-position model. The record is from RNAcentral.
AACGUAGGUGGCGAGCGUUAUCCGGAUUUACUGGGCGUAAAGCGUGUGCAGGCGGGGCUCCAAGUGGUGUAUGAAAUUUCCCAGCUUAACUGGGAGAGGUUAUGCCAGACUGGAGUUCUAGAGUGCGAGAGAGGGGCGUGGAAUUCCGGGUGUAGUGGUGAAAUGUGUUGAUAUUGGAAGGAACGCCGGUGGCGAAAGCGGCUCACUGGAUCGAAACUGACGCUGAGGUGCGAAAGCUAGGGUAGCAAACGGG